RNAcentral lists this long non-coding RNA (2316 nucleotides) under Medicago truncatula (barrel medic). RNAcentral describes it as "lncRNA gene36742". The record is from RNAcentral. Lineage: Eukaryota; Viridiplantae; Streptophyta; Magnoliopsida; Fabales; Fabaceae.
UUUGAUCUAUUUUUUCAUCUAAAAAUACAACAAAUUUGGAAAUUAUUUUAUUUUAUUUUUUUGACAAAAUUUUGUUUUGGAAGUAAAUUAAUGAUUGGGUGGUUUGUGAGCUUGAAAAAGGCAUGAUACUAAAUAUGGUUGGCGAGUAUUUGGUUUAUGAGAAAUUGUAUUCUUGUUAGAGUCUCGAAAGAUUUCAUAUCCUUCAUUAAAUAAGUUGUGAAAAUAAUUCUUCCACCUAUCCUUUAUAUCUCAUUCUUGAAGCAAAAAUUGUUUUUGUUACAAAUGUGUUCAAGUAACAUUUUUGGUAAAAAUAUUCCCACAAGUUUCUAAGAGAGACAUUUGUCUUUAUCAUCCUUGAUUGCCUUUAAUUUUUAAAUGCAACCAUUAUAUUUUUUUUUACUAAUCAACCAUUAUAUUUGAAAAUCUCGUAUUUUCAACACUUCUUUUAUCCAUCUCUUCUUAUCACAUCACAAAUCUAUCAUAUAUAUCACACCAUGCUCUCUAUUCUUUUCUCUUUCAAAGUGUAUGUACACCGACAUAAGCUUUACACUAAACAUAUUCCUCGAGUUAUCUUCUCAUAAAGAGGAUAUAACAUAAAUGUAUAGUAAUUAAGUUUAUCUAAUAUGAACCUAAAUACAGUCGAAUCUAUCAUAUAUAUCACACCACCUCUCUUAUCUCUUUCAAUUUAUUAAAAAUUGCAAGAGUUUACUUUAAAACCAUUUUAAUGAUCAUAUUAAAUACAACCAUGAAUAACAUUAAUCGAAGAUGAUUGUUAAGAGUACUCUAUUUUUAACAUUUAUUCUUUUAUCAAAUAAAAUUGAUAGUAUUCUACGUUAAAAAUCUCUAAGAAAAAGUUGGGGAUUCCACGUUGAUUUUACUCAAAACAAAAAUACUAGAUGUUGAAAACAGGAUUCUUAGCAUUUCUUGUAAUUGAAAUUGAAAUUGCAAAACAAAAGUAACAGAAAGAGAAUCUAUGAGUCAUAUGAACGUUGGAUUCCAACUUAAUAUAUCAUUUUCAUGCAUGUGAUCAAUAUAUUCGUUUUUAUAUAUAUAUAAACAUAAAUGAUUUCAAGUCUAUAAAUAAAUACUAUUUUUUGACGGAAGUUUUUUUUUUUAAAAGAAAAAAAUAGAAUCUAUUAAUUUUUUUUUUGUAAAAUCUCUAAAAAAAAAUCUAAGUAUUAUUGAAUGUCAAAAUUCCUUUUUUUUUUUUAAUCCAAAACAAACGGCCCUACGAGGUUUGGAAUAACUUUUAAAAAAUCACUUCAAAGAUUAUUGUAUCUGUUUGUUAUAAUUUUAAAAAAAAAAAAAAAAAAUCAGGAUAAACAAUAAAUCUAAAAAGAACUGCAAAUUAUAAAAUAACAUAACUUUGAGAAAAUUACAAAAUAUUUGGCACUUGUAGAUUAUACACAGGAUUAAUAUUUAUUACAACCAUACAACUAUUUUUCAGAAAAUUUCACAUUUUUAAGAUUUAUUCUUUUGUAUAGAUAAUUUAUCUUUGCUUUUUGUUUAUCUUAAUAUCAUAUUAUAAAAUAAUAUUUUUCAUUGUACCAAAAAAAAAUUGUUGUUUCAGAUUGUUAAUUAUUAUAGACAUUGAAGUAUAACUAUAAAAAACAUUGGAUAAAUUAUCAAUGAGUAAUUAAAUAAUAUAGUUGUACAAUUCAUACACGGAACUCGUAACAAGAUUUUUAUCAUCAAUGAGAUCUUGAUUAUUUAUAAUAUUUUUACAUUUUUUUCUACCACUUGAUAAUAUUUAAUAAAAACUAUUUCAAUGAUUUUAUCAUGAGCAAAUUAAUCUUUAAAAAAAAAAUCUUGGAAAAAUUACACUAACCACCCUCUUAAAUAACACAAGCACGCUCUCUAUUUUACAAACAAAAAAUUAAUCUCCCUUACUUAGUUAUCAAAAUGACAAGUUCUCCCGUUAUAAUUUAACAUGGUUUAAGUUUUGUUAAUUCUAUUUAUUUUUUAACAAUUAACUUCUUUAUACGACUAUGAACUCCCUUAAUUCUCAACCAUUUUUUAUAAAAGGAGGGGACUAGGCCAAAACCUCCCCAAACUAGACAAAAUCCACAAGUAGGCAAUCACAUAAGAUUUCUCACAAAAGGCUCUCUAAUAAACGAGGGCAAAUCUAACCAAACUAUAUAAGAGUUUAAAGACAGUCCUAUAUUAGUCAUUCAAUCAACACAAUGGUUUCAUUUCCCAUAUAUAUGAGUGAUUAUGUUUAUUUGUUUAAUCAGAAUGUUGCAAUUAUCCCAUCUAUUCUUUCAAGAACAUAUCAUCAAGGAAGAUUUUUUUAAAACAACAGAUGAGUUAGUCUAC